UUAAGAAAAUAGUACCAAUGUUGGGCCUUGCGAAAAGAUUUUUACCCCAAAACAAAAAUCAAUCGGGUAUCCAUAACAACUCCAAGCAUUUUAGGAGCGCUCAAUAAUGAACAUAACAUUGGUAGAAAAGUAACAAGGAAGGCAACGGUGGACCAAACCACCGAGCACAAGGCCAAGCAUUUAGUGACAUGUCAAACACAACAAUCAACUUCUACACAUUAAGUGAAGCUCCAUAUGCAAUGAGUUGCAUAUUUAUUAAACUCCAUGUUUGAAUUAAUUAGUUCACUCCCAUUUAGGUACACCAAAAUAUUUAAUGUUAUUAAACAUGGCAAGAGGUGAAGCAUAAAUAAAGUAUCUAUCUAGGCAUUUUAAAUGAGGUCGGGAACAACUUAUACUAUUUCCGAAAUGAUCCCAUAUGUUAAUUUAGCAAUUGGUCCUCAUCUGAACUAACCAUGUUUUAUAUUUAUUAAACAAGAAAAUAAAAUGUACCAUGUGAUUCUACUCGUUAUUCUAGUCAAUUUACAU
This 525-nucleotide long non-coding RNA is filed under the name Hordeum vulgare. RNAcentral's name for it is "long non-coding RNA (HVUL_LNC018781)". Lineage: Eukaryota; Viridiplantae; Streptophyta; Magnoliopsida; Poales; Poaceae. The record is from RNAcentral.